RNAcentral lists this long non-coding RNA (203 nucleotides) under Musa acuminata (dwarf banana). Its description in RNAcentral is "long non-coding RNA (MACU_LNC000602)". Lineage: Eukaryota; Viridiplantae; Streptophyta; Magnoliopsida; Zingiberales; Musaceae. The record is from RNAcentral.
ACCACUAUAAAACUUGGUUUGCAUUUCUAUUUAUGUAAUUUACCUUUAUCAAAAACUGAUUCCUUACUUAAACUAUGCUUCUCUACUCAUUCUUCAAAAAAAAUAAAAUGGUUUUUGUCCGAAUCGGUUUUUCAUCGUACGAAGAUUUUUGAUAUCAAGUAAUUUUACCACUGCACUAAUUUACUCCCUCUCUUAGUACCGAC